CCUACGGGGGGCAGCAGUGAGGAAUAUUGGUCAAUGGCCGGAAGGCUGAACCAGCCAUGCCGCGUGAAGGUCAGUGCCCUAUGGGCGUUAAACUUCUUUUGUGCGGGAGCAAUAAUGGUCACGUGUGGCCAGACGAGAGUACCGUACGAAUAAGCAUCGGCUAACUCCGUGCCAGCAGCCGCGGUAAUACGGGGGGUGCAAGCGUUAUCCGGAUUUAUUGGGUUUAAAGGGUGCGUAGGCUGUGAGGUAAGUCAGCGGUGAAAUGCCCCCGCUCAACGGGGUGAAGUGCCAUUGAUACUGCCUGGCUGGAAUGCGGAUGCGGUGGGAGGAAUGUGUGGUGUAGCGGUGAAAUGCAUAGAUAUCACACAGAACACCGAUUGCGAAGGCAUCUCACGAAUCCGCGAUUGACGCUGAUGCACGAAAGCGUGGGUAUCAAACAGGAUUAGAUACCCUAGUAGUC
Molecule: ribosomal RNA, 460 nt
Filed under: uncultured bacterium
Lineage: Bacteria
Description: partial 16S ribosomal RNA
Rfam family: Bacterial small subunit ribosomal RNA
Source: RNAcentral